UACGGGGGGGGCAAGCGUUGUUCGGAAUUACUGGGCGUAAAGGGCUCGUAGGUGGCCAACUAAGUCAGACGUGAAAUCCCUCGGCUUAACCGGGGAACUGCGUCUGAUACUGGAUGGCUUGAGUUUGGGAGAGGGACGCGGAAUUCCAGGUGUAGCGGUGAAAUGCGUAGAUAUCUGGAGGAACACCGGUGGCGAAGGCGGCUCACUGGCCCGGUACUGACGCUGAGGUGCGAAAGCGUGGGGAGCAAACAGG
RNAcentral lists this ribosomal RNA (253 nucleotides) under uncultured bacterium. Its description in RNAcentral is "partial 16S ribosomal RNA". It matches the Rfam family "Bacterial small subunit ribosomal RNA", at positions 524 to 776 of the family's 1533-position model. The record is from RNAcentral.